GCAAACUUGGUCAUUUAGAGGAAGUAAAAGUCGUAACAAGGUUUCCGUAGGUGAGUAAACAGAUCCGUACCCCUAGUAACAAAAUUUUAGCUAACAUUUUCCAAGGUGAACCUGCGGAAGGAUCAUUAAAGGUGUCAAGUAACCCGGUUCGCCGGGGACACUUCCACCCUCUGUUAACGAACUUGGUUGCUUUGGCGGACCGUCCGGUCUUCAUUGACCGGCGUGGUCGUUCGCCGACAGACCCGUGAACAUCGAUUUUUUGUACUGUCCGAGCUUGACAUUUACAAUUGAACAAAAACUUUCAACAACGGAUCUCUUGGUUCCGGCAUCGAUGAAGAACGCAGC
RNAcentral lists this unclassified non-coding RNA (345 nucleotides) under uncultured fungus. RNAcentral describes it as "partial contains small subunit ribosomal RNA, internal transcribed spacer 1, and 5.8S ribosomal RNA". The stretch from base 1 to 128 matches the Rfam family "Eukaryotic small subunit ribosomal RNA", at positions 1759 to 1831 of the family's 1831-position model. The record is from RNAcentral. Lineage: Eukaryota; Fungi.